GACGAACGCUGGCGGCGUGCUUAACACAUGCAAGUCGAACGGAAAGGCCCUGCUUUUGUGGGGUGCUCGAGUGGCGAACGGGUGAGUAACACGUGAGUAACCUGCCCUUGACUUUGGGAUAACUUCAGGAAACUGGGGCUAAUACCGGAUAGGAGCUCCUGCUGCAUGGUGGGGGUUGGAAAGUUUCGGCGGUUGGGGAUGGACUCGCGGCUUAUCAGCUUGUUGGUGGGGUAGUGGCUUACCAAGGCUUUGACGGGUAGCCGGCCUGAGAGGGUGACCGGCAACAUGGGGACUGGGAUACGGCCCAGCUUCCUCGGGGAGGAAGAAGUGGGAAUAUUGCACAAUGGGCGGAAGCCUGAUGCAGCAACGCCGCGUGCGGGAUGACGGCCUUCGGGUUGUAAACCGCUUUCGCCUGUGACGAAGCGUGAGUGACGGUAAUGGGUAAAGAAGCACCGGCUAACUACGUG
Molecule: ribosomal RNA, 467 nt
Filed under: uncultured bacterium
Lineage: Bacteria
Description: partial 16S ribosomal RNA
Rfam family: Bacterial small subunit ribosomal RNA
Source: RNAcentral